UGAGAUUUAAAGAGCCGCAGUAUCCUGACUGUGCUAAGGUAGCAUAAUCAUUAGUCUUUUAAUUGGAGACUGGCAUGAAUGGUUAAACGAGAAAUCAACUUUUUUUGUUGUAAAGCUUGAAUUUAACUUUUUAGUGAAAAGGCUAAAAUUUUUCAAAAAGACGAGAAGACCCUAUAGAGUUUUAUAAUCAAGGGAAUAUUUCUUUCUUAGAUUUUUAUGAGAGGUAUUUACUGUAGUUAUUUUGUUGGGGCGACAUUUAGAUAUAAAAAACUCUUUAUUUUUAAAACUUUUAUGAAAGGUAAAUUGAUCCUUUAAAAAAGAUCAUAAGAAAAAAUUACCUUAGGGAUAACAGCGUAAUCUUUUUUGAGAGUUCUAAUCGACAAAAAGGUUUGCGACCUCGAUGUUGGACUAAAAUUAAGGCAGGGUGCAGCAGUUCUGCUAUAAGGUCUGUUCGACCUAUAAUUUUUUACACGAUCUGAGUUCAGACCGGCGUAAGCCAGGUUG
This 504-nucleotide ribosomal RNA is filed under the name Chelonibia patula. RNAcentral's name for it is "partial 16S ribosomal RNA". It matches the Rfam family "Bacterial large subunit ribosomal RNA", at positions 1913 to 2633 of the family's 2925-position model. Lineage: Eukaryota; Metazoa; Arthropoda; Thecostraca; Balanomorpha; Chelonibiidae. The record is from RNAcentral.